Molecule: ribosomal RNA, 280 nt
Filed under: uncultured bacterium
Lineage: Bacteria
Description: partial 16S ribosomal RNA
Rfam family: Bacterial small subunit ribosomal RNA
Source: RNAcentral
GUGGAUUAGAUACCCCGGUAGUCCACGCCGUAAACGAUGGAUACUAGCUGUUGGGAGUAAUCUCAGUGGCUAAGCGAAAGUGAUAAGUAUCCCACCUGGGGAGUACGUUCGCAAGAAUGAAACUCAAAGGAAUUGACGGGGGCCCGCACAAGCGGUGGAGCAUGUGGUUUAAUUCGAUGAUACGCGAGGAACCUUACCAAGGCUUAAAUGUAGAUUGACAGAUUUGGAAACAGAUCUUUCUUCGGACAAUUUACAAGGUGCUGCACGGUCGUCGCCAGCU